This 851-nucleotide ribosomal RNA is filed under the name uncultured bacterium. RNAcentral's name for it is "bacterial SSU rRNA". It matches the Rfam family "Bacterial small subunit ribosomal RNA", at positions 49 to 887 of the family's 1533-position model. The record is from RNAcentral.
CGCUACCUGCAGUCGAGCGGCAGCGGGAAGUAGCUUGCUACUUUGCCGGCGAGCGGCGGACGGGUGAGUAAUGUCUGGGAAACUGCCUGAUGGAGGGGGAUAACUACUGGAAACGGUAGCUAAUACCGCAUAACGUCGCAAGACCAAAGAGGGGGACCUUCGGGCCUCUUGCCAUCAGAUGUGCCCAGAUGGGAUUAGCUAGUAGGUGGGGUAAUGGCUCACCUAGGCGACGAUCCCUAGCUGGUCUGAGAGGAUGACCAGCCACACUGGAACUGAGACACGGUCCAGACUCCUACGGGAGGCAGCAGUGGGGAAUAUUGCACAAUGGGCGCAAGCCUGAUGCAGCCAUGCCGCGUGUAUGAAGAAGGCCUUCGGGUUGUAAAGUACUUUCAGCGGGGAGGAAGGUGUUGAGGUUAAUAACCUCAGCAAUUGACGUUACCCGCAGAAGAAGCACCGGCUAACUCCGUGCCAGCAGCCGCGGUAAUACGGAGGGUGCAAGCGUUAAUCGGAAUUACUGGGCGUAAAGCGCACGCAGGCGGUCUGUCAAGUCGGAUGUGAAAUCCCCGGGCUCAACCUGGGAACUGCAUUCGAAACUGGCAGGCUAGAGUCUUGUAGAGGGGGGUAGAAUUCCAGGUGUAGCGGUGAAAUGCGUAGAGAUCUGGAGGAAUACCGGUGGCGAAGGCGGCCCCCUGGACAAAGACUGACGCUCAGGUGCGAAAGCGUGGGGACAAACAGGAUUAGAUACCCUGGUAGUCCACCCCGUAAACGAUGUCGACUUGGAGGUUGUGCCCCUUGAGGCGUGGCUUCCGGGAGCUAACGCGUUAAGUCGACGGCCCUGGGGAAGUACCGCC